CACUAUCUCACACUACAUAAAACAAAUUAUUAAAUAAUGUCGACUCAAAUUCGUCAAUACAAUCGGGGAUUGCACAAGCGCUCGACUUAUCGUUUUUGUGUGUAAAAACUUAAUAAAAAAUGUCCUUUCGGAUUGAUGACAUUCUCAAAAAGGACGUGAAUUACUUUGAAACUGACAAAAAUUACAACAAACGUGAAAAAAAAUCGGAGUGUUAUUCGACUGCAAACAAUAGUAUUUUACAGAAAACUUUACUAAACCGACCAACUUUUCAAUACUAUAGAUCUAUAAGCGAACCACAUGCUGGAGGCAAUGGAUGUUGGUACCAAAGUGACAGGCUGUACCAUAAUCCGGAACACUACGAUGCAUACAGGACCAAAGCAAUUUCAUAUCCAAACAUAUAUACACGGACGCCCACCUGGUCAAACUAUCACACUUUCCCACUCACUUUUCUUCCACAAUUAUGCUACUUUUCCAAACGAAAAGGGGGCCAAGUUCGUUUCACGGCCAAUCAGACAGAUGCCCUAGAAAAACGUUUUACAUCCCAUAAAUAUCUGAGUCCCGAAGAUAGGAAAUUAUUGGCAGAUUCUUUAAAACUGACAGACCGGCAGGUAAAGACCUGGUUUCAGAAUCGCAGAGCGAAAUGGAGGCGUUGCAAUUCGGUCUCUUCUACAGAAAUUUCGUCAACAAAAUUUGAAGAAAAUAAAGUUAAUGUGUGUAAAAAAUCUGAAAUCUUUGUGAAAUCUCAUAACUAAUAAAUCUUUUUUACCGCUUGUUAUUAAA
Zophobas morio is the source of this 780-nucleotide long non-coding RNA. RefSeq lists it as uncharacterized. The transcript is spliced from 3 exons. Lineage: Eukaryota; Metazoa; Arthropoda; Insecta; Coleoptera; Tenebrionidae. The record is from RefSeq and is a predicted model, not a curated record.